This 467-nucleotide non-coding RNA is filed under the name Nematostella vectensis (starlet sea anemone). RNAcentral describes it as "Eukaryotic small subunit ribosomal RNA". It matches the Rfam family "Eukaryotic small subunit ribosomal RNA", at positions 1498 to 1823 of the family's 1831-position model. The record is from Rfam by way of RNAcentral. Lineage: Eukaryota; Metazoa; Cnidaria; Anthozoa; Actiniaria; Edwardsiidae.
UUUUAUUGUUUUUGCAAAAAUAAAGUUUAGAACUAUUGAUACAGGUUUUGCAAAAACCAAAAAAAAAAAAAACAGUGGUGUCAAAUUUACCUUUACUAAGACAAAUUUAAAAAAAAAAAUGUAUAGAACCCCUACAACAAGGGACAUUAAAAACGAUGAAAUAAAUUAAUGGAAUUUAAUCUAGUAUUCCACUCUACUAGCUUUUGGCUCGUUUUUCGCACGCACCUAUAUUUCGAUCUUGAACGAGGAAUUCCUAGUAAGCGCGAGUCAUCAGCUCGCGUUGAUUACGUCCCUGCCCUUUGUACACACCGCCCGUCGCUACUACCGAUUGAAUGGUUUAGUGAGGCCUUCUGAUUGGCGCCGCGGCCCCGGCAACGGAGCCGCGGAUUGUCGAAAAGUUGGUCAAACUUGAUCAUUUAGAGGAAGUAAAAGUCGUAACAAGGUUUCCGUAGGUGAACCUGCGGAAG